This is a long non-coding RNA of Tyto alba (common barn owl), 578 nucleotides long. RefSeq lists it as uncharacterized. NCBI's taxonomy places the organism in Eukaryota, Metazoa, Chordata, Aves, Strigiformes, Tytonidae. The record is from RefSeq and is a predicted model, not a curated record. The transcript is spliced from 3 exons.
UGGUAUAGGUUAACAGCAUUCUUACUAGACGGACAAAUCUGUAAGCUUUCCAUAUUUACCUAACUCAGGAAUACAUACAGUACUAAACAAAUUAGUAUCCUAGAGGUAUGGUCGUCAGUUGAGAAACUGAAAUGCCUGUGUAUUGCCUUGUUGUGUUGAUAUUACAGUACACCCGUGCAACUUGAAAGAUCUUCUUCAGGAGGAAAACAAUCUUCUUGGAGUCAGCACUAAAAGCUGGGAGAGCAAGCACACAGCAGAGCAAAACACAACAGUCCAUGAGCUUUGUGGUGUAUAAUCGGUGUCCGACUGACUGAACUUCAGGAUUUGUAAGACAAAGAUGAGGUUUCUAAGAACAGAUCCAUGAAGAAAGGGGAGAAGAUUACCUCACACUCCCACCAGAAGGCUGUUACAAUAGCUGGAGCAGCACAAGCUGCACUGAUUAAGUGGCCUUCCCCAGGAUGGAGCAAGAGAGUAGGCUUGCACGUGGUGUGGUCAUUCAUCAGCUGAUACCCAGACGCACAGCUGCAAGAGCGGCACUGGUUGGCAGGGUCAUCCCUGCAGAAGUGUUCACAUCCUCC